UGGCCAGACUCCUACGGGAGGCAGCAGUGAGGAAUAUUGGUCAAUGGGCUUACGCCUGAACCAGCCAAGUCGCGUGAGGGAAGACUGCCCUAUGGGUUGUAAACCUCUUUUGUCGGGGAGCAAAUUCCGCCACGUGUGGCGGAGUCGAGAGUACCCGAAGAAAAAGCAUCGGCUAACUCCGUGCCAGCAGCCGCGGUAAUACGGAGGAUGCGAGCGUUAUCCGGAUUUAUUGGGUUUAAAGGGUGCGUAGGCGGAAUGCCAAGUCAGCGGUAAAAUCGCGGGGCUCAACCUCGCUCCGCCGUUGAAACUGGCGUUCUUGAGUGGGCGAGAAGUAUGCGGAAUGCGUGGUGUAGCGGUGAAAUGCAUAGAUAUCACGCAGAACUCCGAUUGCGAAGGCAGCAUACCGGCGCCCAACUGACGCUGAAGCACGAAAGCGUGGGUAUCGAACAGGAUUAGAUACCCGGGUA
This 467-nucleotide ribosomal RNA is filed under the name uncultured bacterium. RNAcentral's name for it is "bacterial SSU rRNA". It matches the Rfam family "Bacterial small subunit ribosomal RNA", at positions 328 to 792 of the family's 1533-position model. The record is from RNAcentral.